GCCCCGGUGGCUCAGUGGCGAGUGUCAUGGGUGGCUCAGGAGCACUUGCUCCUCGGGUCGCAGGUUCGAAUCCUGCAACGGGUA
Trametes gibbosa is the source of this 84-nucleotide non-coding RNA. The record is from the annotation of a GenBank genome assembly. NCBI's taxonomy places the organism in Eukaryota, Fungi, Basidiomycota, Agaricomycetes, Polyporales, Polyporaceae.